AGUGAACGCUGGCGGUAGGCCUAACACAUGCAAGUCGAACGGCAGCACAGUAAGAGCUUGCUCUUACGGGUGGCGAGUGGCGGAGGGGUGAGGAAUACAUCGGAAUCUACUUUUUCGUGGGGGGUAACGUAGGGAAACUUACGCUAAUACCGCAUACGACCUACGGGUGAAAGCAGGGGAUCUUCGGACCUUGCGCGAUUGAAUGAGCCGAUGUCGGAUUAGCUAGUUGGCGGGGUAAAGGCCCACCAAGGCGACGAUCCGUAGCUGGUCUGAGAGGAUGAUCAGCCACACUGGAACUGAGACACGGUCCAGACUCCUACGGGAGGCAGCAGUGGGGAAUAUUGGACAAUGGGCGCAAGCCUGAUCCAGCCAUACCGCGUGGGUGAAGAAGGCCUUCGGGUUGUAAAGCCCUUUUGUUGGGAAAGAAAAGCAGCAGGUUAAUACCCCGCUGUUCUGACGGUACCCAAAGAAUAAGCACCGGCUAACUUCGUG
RNAcentral lists this ribosomal RNA (492 nucleotides) under uncultured bacterium. Its description in RNAcentral is "partial 16S ribosomal RNA". It matches the Rfam family "Bacterial small subunit ribosomal RNA", at positions 29 to 507 of the family's 1533-position model. The record is from RNAcentral.